This 205-nucleotide unclassified non-coding RNA is filed under the name Hevea brasiliensis (rubber tree). Lineage: Eukaryota; Viridiplantae; Streptophyta; Magnoliopsida; Malpighiales; Euphorbiaceae. The record is from RNAcentral.
UUUAUAUAUGGCUUAUGGGUUAAGACUUUUUAACAUCAUUGGUUUUACUUUUAUUUGGAUUUAACAUCUUCUCGUUAUAUUUUUUUUCUCGGUUUAAGGCUCUUUAACAUUUUUUGUUUCAUUUUGAUUUAAAUUUAGGUUACAUUUGGGGCUUUGAGGAAAAUGGGGGAGAGUAAAACGGGGAGGAAUAUGAACUUGUACUGUG